GACGAACGCUGGCGGCGUGCCUAAUACAUGCAAGUAGAACGCUGAAGGAGGAGCUUGCUUCUCCGGAUGAGUUGCGAACGGGUGAGUAACGCGUAGGUAACCUGCCUGGUAGCGGGGGAUAACUAUUGGAAACGAUAGCUAAUACCGCAUAACAGUAGAUAUCGCAUGAUAUCUGCUUGAAAGGUGCAAUUGCAUCACUACCAGAUGGACCUGCGUUGUAUUAGCUAGUUGGUGAGGUAACGGCUCACCAAGGCGACGAUACAUAGCCGACCUGAGAGGGGGAUCGGCCACACUGGGACUGAGACACGGCCCAGACUCCUACGGGAGGCAGCAGUAGGGAAUCUUCGGCAAUGGACGGAAGUCUGACCGAGCAACGCCGCGUGAGUGAAGAAGGUUUUCGGAUCGUAAAGCUCUGUUGUAAGAGAAGAACGAGUGUGAGAGUGGAAAGUUCACACUGUGACGGUAUCUUACCAGAAAGGGACGGCUAACUACGUG
RNAcentral lists this ribosomal RNA (495 nucleotides) under uncultured bacterium. RNAcentral's name for it is "partial 16S ribosomal RNA". It matches the Rfam family "Bacterial small subunit ribosomal RNA", at positions 28 to 507 of the family's 1533-position model. The record is from RNAcentral.